This 319-nucleotide ribosomal RNA is filed under the name uncultured Smithella sp. RNAcentral's name for it is "bacterial SSU rRNA". It matches the Rfam family "Bacterial small subunit ribosomal RNA", at positions 1071 to 1382 of the family's 1533-position model. Lineage: Bacteria; Pseudomonadati; Thermodesulfobacteriota; Syntrophia; Syntrophales; Smithellaceae. The record is from RNAcentral.
UAGUUGGGUUUAAGGUUACCGCCAACGAGCGCAACCCUUACGUUCACUUUAAGUUGCCAGCAUUCAGUUGGGCACUUUAAAGAGACUGCCGGUGUUAAACCGGAGGAAGGUGGGGAUGACGUCAAGUCCUCAUGGCCUUUAUGCUUAGGGCUACACACGUGCUACAAUGGGUGGUACAAAGAGAAGCCAACUCGCGAGAGCGCGCCAAUCUCAAAAAGCCAUCCUCAGUUCGGAUUGGAGUCUGCAACUCGACUCCAUGAAGUUGGAAUCGCUAGUAAUCGCGGAUCAGCAUGCCGCGGUGAAUACGUUCCCGGGCCUU